Mus musculus (house mouse) is the source of this 712-nucleotide long non-coding RNA. RefSeq annotates it as RIKEN cDNA 7330404K18 gene. Lineage: Eukaryota; Metazoa; Chordata; Mammalia; Rodentia; Muridae. The transcript has 2 exons. The record is from RefSeq and is a predicted model, not a curated record.
AAGAUGGCAGCUUGUACUGACGCUAGAAAGAAAAUCCUUUACUUCACUGCAGUCGGGCUCUGAUUUCUGUCAGACCUGGAUUAGCCUUCCCAUGCACAUGGUCGUACAUUGUGACUCCAUGUUCCUGUUGGAUAAGGUUCUAAAUACAAAACUGGCACUUAUGGGUGAAGAAGGGAAAGGAGACAGAGACAAAGUCAGGGAGUCAAAAUGCCUGUGGCAGAACAGUGGCAACUCUUAGGAUGGCUGUGACACAGGAAGAGUCAAGGAAACACGAGAAGGAAAGCAACGUCCCUGUCUGGGAAUCUGCCUGGAAGUCAAAAACUUCAACUCAGCUGCUGAAAUUGGAACCACCCCUGGAGAUAGCGCUUGUCUCCUUAGAGACAAGCAAGGGUAGUGGUGUUUGCUUAGGACCAGAAGGGGCUGGCAUUUGCUUAGGACGCGGAGGGGCUGCAGUUUAACUGCAUAGCCACUCCUGUCUUACCCCCAACCCCAAAAGAUGUUCCUCAUGAAACCUUGGCAAUUUCAUUUAAUAGAGGAAAUCCUUAAAAAAAAAAAUGUGCCUUAUUUUUAAUCACAUGUAUGUGUAUCUGCUUUCGUGUGCCAGCAAGGCCUGUGCAGGCUGGAGAUGUCAGAUCCCUGCAACGGGAGUUCUGGGCAGUUUGGAGCCACCUGGUGGGGGUGCCAGAAAUACACUCUUUGGCUGCUGCUGCAA